GGGUGAUGUGAGGGAGAGGGACCAGAAAAUCAGCACUUGCAGGGUUGCAAGGAAAUGCCUGAAGGCACUGCUAUGGGGAGAUCCCCCAAAGCUCCAGAGGAGGUUGUGGUGGGUAACGGGGGGAGGCUGCUUGGAUUUGUGCAGAGGGAGAGCUGGAGAGAGAAAUAGAUGGACAGAGGGAUCAACAGAGGAGAGAACUGUUGGUUGGAUGGAUGGAUGGAUGGAUGGAUGGAUGGAUGGAUGGAUGGAUGGAUGGAAAAACGGAUUGAAGGAUCAUUGGAUGGACGGAACGAUUGUUGGAUGAAAGGGUGGAUGUAAAUACAGGUGGGUGGAGAGAUCAACAGGAAAA
RNAcentral lists this long non-coding RNA (349 nucleotides) under Gallus gallus (chicken). Lineage: Eukaryota; Metazoa; Chordata; Aves; Galliformes; Phasianidae. The record is from RNAcentral.